This 568-nucleotide ribosomal RNA is filed under the name uncultured bacterium. RNAcentral's name for it is "bacterial SSU rRNA". It matches the Rfam family "Bacterial small subunit ribosomal RNA", at positions 337 to 916 of the family's 1533-position model. The record is from RNAcentral.
UCCUACGGGGGGCAGCAGUGGGGAAUAUUGGGCAAUGGGCGCAAGCCUGACCCAGCGACGCCGCGUGAGGGAUGAAGGUCUUCGGAUUGUAAACCUCUUUCAGUGGGGAAGAAGCGAAAGUGACGGUACCCAAAGAAGAAGCACCGGCUAACUAUGUGCCAGCAGCCGCGGUAAUACAUAGGGUGCAAGCGUUGUCCGGAAUUAUUGGGCGUAAAGAGCUCGUAGGUGGUUUAUCACGUCGGAUGUGAAAUUCUGAGGCUCAACCUCGGACCUGCAUUCGAUACGGGCAAACUAGAGUGUGGUAGGGGAGACUGGAAUUCCUGGUGUAGCGGUGGAAUGCGCAGAUAUCAGGAGGAACACCAAUGGCGAAGGCAGGUCUCUGGGCCAUUACUGACACUGAGGAGCGAAAGCGCGGGGAGCGAACAGGAUUAGAUACCCUGGUAGUCCGCGCCGUAAACGGUGGGCACUAGUUGUGGGAACCUUCCACGGUUUCCGCGACGCAGCUAACGCAUUAAGUGCCCCGCCUGGGGAGUACGAUCGCAAGAUUAAAACUCAAAGGAAUUGACGG